GUGCUCAUUUCAGCAGCACAUACACUAAAAUUGAAACUAUACAGAGAAGAUUAGCAUGGCCCCUAUGCAAGGAUGACAUGCAAAUUCGUGAGGUGUUCCAUAUUUUU
Molecule: small nuclear RNA, 107 nt
Filed under: Propithecus coquereli (Coquerel's sifaka)
Lineage: Eukaryota; Metazoa; Chordata; Mammalia; Primates; Indriidae
Source: RNAcentral